AUUCUCUGCAAUACAGCACAAGGGAAAACAGCACAAUCUAGUCUCUCUUUAUUCCUUCCCAUUGUCAGGUGGACCUUCAAGUCUGAAUGAGGACAUGACACCCUGCCCUCUAGAGGCAAUACCUGCAGGACUUGAUCAAAUUCCUGCAGAGAGAGAUGAGGAGCCAAAACACACAAAUCAGAACAGUCAGCAAAAAAUACAGCCGGAGGGCAUGGAGGCGGGCGACAUAAGGCAUAGACUGCAAAGUUUCAACUUUAUUCGUCCCACUAUGGAUGAAGCAGCAAAGAAAUCUUCUGGCAAGACAGAAUAAACAAUAUGAAUCACAUUUUUACCGUUUUUUUAUAUCCUGAUUAUGUUUUCUGACAGUUGCAUAAAAUUUAACAUACAAUUUCAAAUCUUAAAUUGAUAUACUAAAUUGAUCCUUUUUUAGUAUCUGUUCUCCACAAUUGGCUGCAGUCAUGUAGUAGUACAUUGUGUGUCUGUGUAGGUUACAAAUUUUUUUUUUUUAUUUACCAAAUCAUGUAAUACACACAGCCUUGCACAUCUGUUUUAAUAACAAUAUCCUGCCUAGCAUAUGCCUGCCUCAAUACAUGUGAAGCCAGCCUUCACCUCUUUUUUAACUGCUGCUAAUAAAGGGUAAAUAACACACCUUGGAACAAUCAUGCUCCAUUGUGUAUGUUUACAACACACUGAAUUUAUUAUUUAUUAUUAUCUAAUUCAGCUGGAUAAGCUCUGAUCCGUUAGACCGCAACUAAUUGUGCUCUAAAACCAUAA
This 774-nucleotide long non-coding RNA is filed under the name Astyanax mexicanus (Mexican tetra). RNAcentral describes it as "lncRNA (ENSAMXG00005014191.1)". Lineage: Eukaryota; Metazoa; Chordata; Actinopteri; Characiformes; Acestrorhamphidae. The record is from RNAcentral.